UUCCGAUCUAGUGAUAAGAUCCGUAGUCAAAAGGGAAACAGCCCAGACCGCCAGCUAAGGUCCCAAAGUGUGUAUUAAGUGGAAAAGGAUGUGGAGUUGCUUAGACAACUAGGAUGUUGGCUUAGAAGCAGCCACCAUUUAAAGAGUGCGUAAUAGCUCACUAGUCGAGUGACUCUGCGCCGAAAAUGUACCGGGGCUAAAUACACCACCGAAGCUGCGGAUUGAUACCGAAUGGUAUCAGUGGUAGGGGAGCGUUCUAAGGACAGUGAAGUCAGACCGGAAGGACUGGUGGAGUGCUUAGAAGUGAGAAUGCCGGUAUGAGUAGCGAAAGACGGGUGAGAAUCCCGUCCACCGAAUGCCUAAGGUUUCCUGAGGAAGGCUCGUCCGCUCAGGGUUAGUCAGGACCUAAGCCGAGGCCGACAGGCGUAGGCGAUGGACAACAGGUUGAUAUUCCUGUACCACCUCUUUAUCGUUUGAGCAAUGGAGGGACGCAGAAGGAUAGAAGAAGCGUGCGAUUGGUUGUGCACGUCCAAGCAGUUAGGCUGAUAAGUAGGCAAAUCCGCUUAUCGUAAAGGCUGAGCUGUGAUGGGGAAGCUCCUUAUGGAGCGAAGUCUUUGAUUCCCCGCUGCCAAGAAAAGCUUCUAGCGAGAUAAAAGGUGCCUGUACCGCAAACCGACACAGGUAGGCGAGGAGAGAAUCCUAAGGUGUGCGAGAGAACUCUGGUUAAGGAACUCGGCAAAAUGACCCCGUAACUUCGGGAGAAGGGGUGCUUUCUUAACGGAAAGCCGCAGUGAAUAGGCCCAAGCGACUGUUUAGCAAAAACACAGCUCUCUGCGAAGCCGUAAGGCGAAGUAUAGGGGGUGACACCUGCCCGGUGCUGGAAGGUUAAGGAGAGGGGUUAGCGUAAGCGAAGCUCUGAACUGAAGCCCCAGUAAACGGCGGCCGUAACUAUAACGGUCCUAAGGUAGCGAAAUUCCUUGUCGGGUAAGUUCCGACCCGCACGAAAGGUGUAACGAUUUGGGCACUGUCUCAACCAGAGACUCGGUGAAAUUAUAGUACCUGUGAAGAUGCAGGUUACCCGCGACAGGACGGAAAGACCCCGUGGAGCUUUACUGUAGCCUGAUAUUGAAUUUUGGUACAGUUUGUACAGGAUAGGCGGGAGCCUUUGAAACCGGAGCGCUAGCUUCGGUGGAGGCGCUGGUGGGAUACCGCCCUGACUGUAUUGAAAUUCUAACCUACGGGUCUUAUUGACCCGGGAGACAGUGUCAGGUGGGCAGUUUGACUGGGG
This 1288-nucleotide ribosomal RNA is filed under the name Simplicispira lacusdiani. Its description in RNAcentral is "bacterial LSU rRNA". It matches the Rfam family "Bacterial large subunit ribosomal RNA", at positions 983 to 2279 of the family's 2925-position model. Lineage: Bacteria; Pseudomonadati; Pseudomonadota; Betaproteobacteria; Burkholderiales; Comamonadaceae. The record is from RNAcentral.